RNAcentral lists this long non-coding RNA (206 nucleotides) under Hordeum vulgare. RNAcentral describes it as "long non-coding RNA (HVUL_LNC004346)". Lineage: Eukaryota; Viridiplantae; Streptophyta; Magnoliopsida; Poales; Poaceae. The record is from RNAcentral.
CCCCGGCGACGUCGAUGGCGCCCGCGAGCGGCCCGGGCCAGUUGAAGAGGCGGUCGACGAUGUUGGCGGCGGGCCCGAUGAGGCGCGAAUCCAUGCCGCGGGACACGACGUCGAGCAAGGCGGUGUAGAUGGUCUCCGCUGCGUCGAUGGGCUCGUCGACCAGCACCGCCGAGAUCUCGCGGAGCGUCACGCGGGCGGCCUCGCAG